UCGAGCGAUCUUCUUCGGAAGAGAGCGGCGGACGGGUGAGUAACGCGUGGGUAACCUGCCCUGUACACACGGAUAACAUACCGAAAGGUAUGCUAAUACGGGAUAACAUAAGAAAGUCGCAUGGCUUUCUUAUCAAAGCUUUUGCGGUACAGGAUGGACCCGCGUCUGAUUAGCUAGUUGGUAAGGUAACGGCUUACCAAGGCGACGAUCAGUAGCCGACCUGAGAGGGUGAUCGGCCACAUUGGAACUGAGACACGGUCCAAACUCCUACGGGAGGCAGCAGUGGGGAAUAUUGCACAAUGGGCGAAAGCCUGAUGCAGCAACGCCGCGUGAGCGAUGAAGGCCUUCGGGUCGUAAAGCUCUGUCCUCAAGGAAGAUAAUGACGGUACUUGAGGAGGAAGCCCCGGCUAACUACGUGCCAGCAGCCGCGGUAAUACGUACGGGGCUAGCGUUAUCCGGAAUUACUGGGCGUA
Molecule: ribosomal RNA, 473 nt
Filed under: uncultured Clostridium sp.
Lineage: Bacteria; Bacillati; Bacillota; Clostridia; Eubacteriales; Clostridiaceae
Description: bacterial SSU rRNA
Rfam family: Bacterial small subunit ribosomal RNA
Source: RNAcentral